GUAGGUGAACCUGCGGAAGGAUCAUUAACGAUUAAUAUUCUUUUUCAAAGAAAUUCAAGAAUUAAAUUCAAAAAUAGUUGCGUUUGCAUGGAGCGAAAGCGAGGUGUUUGUCGCGAUCGCUCGGAAACGCUUAACCCGGUUAGUCCUAAAGCACGGUAGUACCGUGGGGCGAAACGUGUUAUUUUGAACGCAAGAAUCUCGGAUGCCUGACGGCGACGUAUGUCGUUAUCAAUUCGGGCUAUAAAGGACU
RNAcentral lists this unclassified non-coding RNA (250 nucleotides) under plant metagenome. Its description in RNAcentral is "partial contains small subunit ribosomal RNA, internal transcribed spacer 1, and 5.8S ribosomal RNA". The record is from RNAcentral.